This 849-nucleotide ribosomal RNA is filed under the name uncultured bacterium. Its description in RNAcentral is "bacterial SSU rRNA". It matches the Rfam family "Bacterial small subunit ribosomal RNA", at positions 63 to 849 of the family's 1533-position model. The record is from RNAcentral.
CGAGCGGCAGCGAGUUUCUCCUGUUUGCUUCUCAUCUUUCGAUUUUGAAAUCUGAAAUUUCUAUGGAAAAUUCUGUAUAUUCAUCGAGAGAGGUAAGAGGAGUGAAGAGUGAGAAAUGUCGGCGAGCGGCGGACGGCUGAGUAACGCGUGGGAACGUGCCCCAAAGUGAGGGAUAAGCCAAGGAAACUUGGUCUAAUACCGCAUAUGAUCUUCGGAUUAAAGGAUUUAUCCGCUUUGGGAGCGGCCCGCGUCGGAUUAGAUAGUUGGUGAGGUAAUGGCUCACCAAGUCUACGAUCCGUAGCUGGUCUGAGAGGAUGACCAGCCAGACUGGAACUGAGACACGGUCCAGACUCCUACGGGAGGCAGCAGUGAGGAAUCUUCCACAAUGGGCGAAAGCCUGAUGGAGCAACGCCGCGUGCAGGAUGAAGGCUUUCGGGUCGUAAACUGCUUUUAUAAGUGAAGAAUAUGACUGUAACUUAUGAAUAAGGAUCGGCUAACUACGUGCCAGCAGCCGCGGUCAUACGUAGGAUCCGAGCGUUAUCCGGAGUGACUGGGCGUAAAGAGUUGCGUAGGUGGUUAUACAAGCGAAUAGUGAAAUCUGGCGGCUCAACCGUACAGGCUAUUAUUCGAACUGUAUAACUCGAGAAUGGUAGAGGUAACUGGAAUUUCUUGUGUAGGAGUGAAAUCCGUAGAUAUAAGAAGGAACACCAAUGGCGUAGGCAGGUUACUGGACCAUUUCUGACACUGAGGCACGAAAGCGUGGGGAGCGAACCGGAUUAGAUACCCGGGUAGUCCACGCCGUANACGAUGGAUACUAGCUGUUGGAGGUNUCGACCCCUUCAGUAGCGA